UGUGACAUACCUAUUUGUUGCCUCGGCGGUGCCUGUUCCGACAGCCCGCCAGAGGACCCCAAACCCUGAUUACAUUUAAGAAGUCUUCUGAGUAAACCGAUUAAAUAAAUCAAAACUUUCAACAACGGAUCUCUUGGUUCUGGCAUCGAUGAAGAACGCAGCGAAAUGCGAUAAGUAAUGUGAAUUGCAGAAUUCAGUGAAUCAUCGAAUCUUUGAACGCACAUUGCGCCCGCUAGUAUUCUGGCGGGCAUGCCUGUCCGAGCGUCAUUUCAACCCUCAAGCCCCCGGGCUUGGUGUUGGGGAUCGGCGAGCCUCCGCGCCCGCCGUCCCCUAAAUCUAGUGGCGGUCUCGCUGUAGCUUCCUCUGCGUAGUAGCACACCUCGCACUGGGAAACAGCGCGGCCACGCCGUUAAACCCCCAACUUCUGAACGUUUGACCUCGGAUCAGGUAGGAAUACCCGCUGAACUUAAGCAUAUCAAUAAGCGGAGG
Molecule: ribosomal RNA, 489 nt
Filed under: Ilyonectria sp. CJL-2014
Lineage: Eukaryota; Fungi; Ascomycota; Sordariomycetes; Hypocreales; Nectriaceae
Also listed under: 1 other name
Description: eukaryotic LSU rRNA
Rfam family: 5.8S ribosomal RNA (bases 114-267)
Source: RNAcentral